UACGUAGGGGGCGAGCGUUGUCCGGAUUUAUUGGGCGUAAAGAGCGUGUAGGCGGCCAGGUAGGUCUGCUGUGAAAACUCGAGGCUCAACCUCGAGACGUCGGCGGAAACCAUCUGGCUAGAGUCCGGAAGAGGAGAGUGGAAUUCCUGGUGUAGCGGUGAAAUGCGUAGAUAUUGGGAAGAACACCGGUGGCGAAAGCGCCUUGCUGGGUCUGCACUGACACUGAGGGACGAAAGCUAGGGGAGCGAAUGGG
RNAcentral lists this ribosomal RNA (253 nucleotides) under uncultured bacterium. RNAcentral's name for it is "partial 16S ribosomal RNA". It matches the Rfam family "Bacterial small subunit ribosomal RNA", at positions 524 to 776 of the family's 1533-position model. The record is from RNAcentral.